This is a long non-coding RNA of Passer domesticus (house sparrow), 885 nucleotides long. RefSeq lists it as uncharacterized. The transcript is spliced from 3 exons. The record is from RefSeq and is a predicted model, not a curated record. NCBI's taxonomy places the organism in Eukaryota, Metazoa, Chordata, Aves, Passeriformes, Passeridae.
CUUAUGAAAUGCAGCCAUCCUAUGGAUCAAUUCUAACAACAAUGUUUCUUCCCAGAUGGUCUUAGGCAUUUCAGGAUGUGAUCUUUUACUAUGUUUCUCAAGCAUGCACAUUUUCAUGUCCCAGACACUGAAGAAGUGUCUGCAGUCCCUUCCAGGAGGAUGAUGAAGCAUCACCAGCUAUCAUCAUAAUCUUGGGCGUGCUUUGGUUCUGGAAAAGCUGCUGUGAGGGCAUCUACUGGACACAGCAGUUUGGCAAGGAGGGAUGAUACAAGCAACAGAAGGAAGGAAAAGAGCUGAAGGGAGACACCCCCUAAAGAUAUUCUGACAGGAGGAGGAGACACUUCUGUGCUUCACGGCAACCAGCACCCAAGUGAAGGCAGCAGCGCUCAUGGUCUCUGCACUGGAACACUCCCAGGAAAACACAGGGCACCUGACUUGGAAAGGAGAGAACUGGCGGUCCUUCCAGUGUGUGGAUUUAAUUUACAUACAUCGACGUAGAUAUUGUAGGAAAUGGAUUUGUCUUCCCCAGUACAAGACAGGCAUAGACACACAGAAGGAAAUCCAGUGAAGAGCAACAAAAAUUGAGAAUAAAACCUCUCUGGAUAAAACCUCUCGGCUGUCCUAUGAAGAUCUGCCCCUCAUCAGCAUCUAGGGAUGGUGAAGUACCUCAGCUUCCCUUGCCAUGCAUGCCUUGCCUGUGACCAAACAAGAUGUCUCCUUCCAAUGGAAAGGUGGGAACUCUGACUCCAGAACAAGGGAAGAAAAAGGGACCAUGACAUCAAAGUUCAAAAACAGGAAGGUUAGGACACACUGGCCUGAAAUUCAGUGUGCCAUGUGGAGUCCGAACUACGUCCAGAAGUCUGGGCUACAACAUCUCCAGUGCUU